UCUCCGUAGGUGAACCUGCGGAGGGAUCAUUACAGAGUUCAUGCCCUACCGGGUAGAUCGACCACCCUAUGUUAUUAUUACUUUGUUUCUUUGGCAUGCCGUUAGGCUCCGGCCCGACUACCGGCCCCGGCUGGUAAGCGCCCGCCAGAGGACCCAAAACCCUGACUAUUAGUGUCUUGUGAGUACUAUAUAAUAGUUAAAACUUUCAACAACGGAUCUCUUGGUUCUG
RNAcentral lists this unclassified non-coding RNA (229 nucleotides) under plant metagenome. RNAcentral's name for it is "partial contains small subunit ribosomal RNA, internal transcribed spacer 1, and 5.8S ribosomal RNA". The record is from RNAcentral.